UUUUAGCUACGUACAUUUUCCGACGAGCACAGUCGAGUAAUUUUUUGCCGAAAAAUGUUUGAGGACCAGUUGGAGAAUGGUGUUGGUUAUGGUUGUUCUUUGAUGAUGGUGAAGGAGUGUUGUUGAGAUUGUUUGGUUUUUAGUUCUUAUUAUCAAGUGUGUUUGAUGUUGUGAAGGUGAUGAGUUAAAGAAGUUUUUGAUGGAGUUUAGUUGUUUGUUGGUUGAUGUAUUAUGAGGGUGAGUUGAGAGGUGAACUG
RNAcentral lists this long non-coding RNA (257 nucleotides) under Lathyrus oleraceus (garden pea). Its description in RNAcentral is "Pisum sativum (pea) long non-coding RNA (PSAT_LNC039477)". Lineage: Eukaryota; Viridiplantae; Streptophyta; Magnoliopsida; Fabales; Fabaceae. The record is from RNAcentral.